GACGAACGCUGGCGGCGUGCUUAACACAUGCAAGUCGAACGGAAAGGCCCUUCGGGGUACUCGAGUGGCGAACGGGUGAGUAACACGUGGGUGAUCUGCCCUGCACUUUGGGAUAAGCCUGGGAAACUGGGUCUAAUACCGAAUAGGACCACGCGCUUCAUGGUGUGUGGUGGAAAGCUUUUGCGGUGUGGGAUGGGCCCGCGGCCUAUCAGCUUGUUGGUGGGGUAAUGGCCUACCAAGGCGACGACGGGUAGCCGGCCUGAGAGGGUGACCGGCCACACUGGGACUGAGAUACGGCCCAGACUCCUACGGGAGGCAGCAGUGGGGAAUAUUGCACAAUGGGCGCAAGCCUGAUGCAGCGACGCCGCGUGAGGGGUGACGGCCUUCGGGUUGUAAACCGCUUUCGCCUGUGACGAAGCGUGAGUGACGGUAAUGGGUAAAGAAGCACCGGCUAACUACGUG
Molecule: ribosomal RNA, 462 nt
Filed under: uncultured bacterium
Lineage: Bacteria
Description: partial 16S ribosomal RNA
Rfam family: Bacterial small subunit ribosomal RNA
Source: RNAcentral